AUUGAACGCUGGCGGAAUGCCUAACACAUGCAAGUCGAGCGGGGUGUAGCAAUACACCUAGCGGCGGACGGGUGAGGAAUACAUAGGAAUCUACCUUUAAGUGGGGGAGUAGCCCGGGGAAACCCGGGAUUAAUACCGCAUGAUCUCGCAAGAGCAAAGCGGGGGACCGGUAAGGCCUCGCGCUGAAAGAAUGAGCCUAUGUCGGAUUAGCUAGUUGGCGGGGUAAAGGCCCACCAAGGCGACGAUCCGUAGCUGGUCUGAGAGGACGAUCAGCCACACCGGAACUGAGACACGGU
This 296-nucleotide ribosomal RNA is filed under the name uncultured bacterium. RNAcentral's name for it is "partial 16S ribosomal RNA". It matches the Rfam family "Bacterial small subunit ribosomal RNA", at positions 30 to 330 of the family's 1533-position model. The record is from RNAcentral.